AUCAUUUGUGGCUCAUGAAUGUGAUGAUUGGGCAUUCAUACCAUUGUAUGGGAUAUUCUUCUAUCAAAACUUUUUAUACCAUCUAUACAUUCUUCAUUUGAUA
This is a small nucleolar RNA of Grammomys surdaster, 103 nucleotides long. RefSeq annotates it as small nucleolar RNA U13. The record is from RefSeq and is a predicted model, not a curated record. Lineage: Eukaryota; Metazoa; Chordata; Mammalia; Rodentia; Muridae. The transcript has a single exon.